Molecule: transfer RNA, 73 nt
Filed under: Clostridia bacterium
Lineage: Bacteria; Bacillati; Bacillota; Clostridia
Description: tRNA-Phe
Rfam family: tRNA
About the family: Transfer RNA (tRNA) molecules are approximately 80 nucleotides in length. Their secondary structure includes four short double-helical elements and three loops (D, anti-codon, and T loops). Further hydrogen bonds mediate the characteristic L-shaped molecular structure. tRNAs have two regions of fundamental functional importance: the anti-codon, which is responsible for specific mRNA codon recognition, and the 3' end, to which the tRNAs corresponding amino acid is attached (by aminoacyl-tRNA synthetases). tRNAs cope with the degeneracy of the genetic code in two manners: having more than one tRNA (with a specific anti-codon) for a particular amino acid; and 'wobble' base-pairing, i.e. permitting non-standard base-pairing at the 3rd anti-codon position.
Source: RNAcentral
AUUGUAAUUAGCUAAGUGGUUAUAGCAGGGGGCUAAAAUCCCCGUAUCGCGAGUUCGAAUCUCGCAUUAAAUG